CCUAUUUUUAUGCCCCACCUACGAUAGUAGAGGGGCAUUAUGUUUUCUGGUCUGUGCGUCCGUUCGUUCGUUCGUCCGUCCGUCUGUUCGUUCGUUCGUCCGUCUGUCCCGCUUCAGGUUAAAGUUUUUGGUCAAGGUAGUUUUUGAUGAAGUUGAAGUCCAAUCAACUUGAAACUUAGUACACAUGUUCCUUAUGAUAUGAUCUUUCUAAUUUUAAAGCCAAAUUAAACUUUUGACCCCAAUUACACGG
RNAcentral lists this long non-coding RNA (250 nucleotides) under Mytilus galloprovincialis (Mediterranean mussel). Lineage: Eukaryota; Metazoa; Mollusca; Bivalvia; Mytilida; Mytilidae. The record is from RNAcentral.